UUUCAUGUCAUUGUAAACCAUUACAUGUGAGUCCAUACAAGAAAAUACAAAAUUUGGCAUUUUUGACCAACUGUUGACUUUGGUCAACAGUUGACUUUUUGGUCAACUUUGACCAAAGUCAACCCAAAUCCAUUAAACCCUAAAUUCACCCAUAAUUGUCCAUUGAAUAUCCAUUUACAAAGAAAUCAUAAAGAAAACACAUUUUGACCAUUUGUUGACUUUGGUCAACAAUUGACUUUUGGUCAACUUUGACCAAAGUCAACUUUCACUUGCUUUUGCCCAUCCAACUUGGCCCGACCUUUUUCUUUAAUACAUCACCCAAUCUUCAUUUGUUGUUGUUGAUUUUUCUUGUUUUCUUCCAUUGCUAGCAAGUCCCAUUGUGCAAACCAGGAUGUCUUGACCAUGAACCAAUAACCAUGUUCCUUGGUUCUGCCCUAACCAUUGGCCAAGGAGU
RNAcentral lists this long non-coding RNA (454 nucleotides) under Lathyrus oleraceus (garden pea). RNAcentral's name for it is "Pisum sativum (pea) long non-coding RNA (PSAT_LNC031301)". The record is from RNAcentral. Lineage: Eukaryota; Viridiplantae; Streptophyta; Magnoliopsida; Fabales; Fabaceae.